UCGGGAAUUUUGGGCAAUGGGCGAAAGCCUGACCCAGCAACGCCGCGUGUGGGAUGAAGGCCCUCGGGUCGUAAACCACUGUCAGGAGGAAAGAAAAGUCGGCCGGAUAAUACUCGGUCGACCUGACGGUACCUCCAAAGGAAGCACCGGCUAACUCCGUGCCAGCAGCCGCGGUAAUACGGAGGGUGCAAGCGUUGUUCGGAAUUACUGGGCGUAAAGCGCGUGUAGGUGGUCGAGUAAGUCGAAUGUGAAAGCCCCGGGCUCAACCCGGGAAGUGCAUCCGAAACUGCUCGACUAGAGUCCCGGAGAGGAAGGCAGAAUUCCCAAUGUAGGGGUGAAAUCCGUAGAUAUUGGGAGGAAUACCGGUGGCGAAGGCGGCCUUCUGGACGGUGACUGACACUCAGACGCGAAAGCGUGGGGAGCAAACAGGAUUAGAUACCCACGUAGUCCCUGAGCGGGCUGGCAAGGCGCAU
RNAcentral lists this ribosomal RNA (473 nucleotides) under uncultured bacterium. RNAcentral's name for it is "bacterial SSU rRNA". It matches the Rfam family "Bacterial small subunit ribosomal RNA", at positions 355 to 825 of the family's 1533-position model. The record is from RNAcentral.